GGAUUCCUGCCUACUUGUAACCUUCUAAAGGUUGGAAGCCCAGAACAGCCUGCCCCAUUGUCAUGGUAUGGUGGAAGUACAGAAUCUGUUAGCCUAGAAUGAACCAAAGGAAAUGGGGAUGCAUGAAAACCGUCAGUGGGUGCUGCUGCUUCUUCUGGAACCUGCUAAGGGAGGAGGCAGCUUGACCAACCACAGCAAGCAGUGCAAGCACUGCUCACCAAACCUGCUCACCGAGUCGAUUAAGGGAGGUAGAGGAGUAGCAGAGAAGAGAAACUCUCCAAGCAGACCAGAAUUUGAUUGGAUUAAAAAAAGUGUAUUGGAUGUCCAAUACAAAAUAAU
Molecule: long non-coding RNA, 339 nt
Organism: Lagopus leucura (white-tailed ptarmigan)
Lineage: Eukaryota; Metazoa; Chordata; Aves; Galliformes; Phasianidae
Exons: 3
Source: RefSeq, a predicted model, not a curated record